This 228-nucleotide long non-coding RNA is filed under the name Elaeis guineensis (African oil palm). Its description in RNAcentral is "long non-coding RNA (EGUI_LNC005809)". The record is from RNAcentral. Lineage: Eukaryota; Viridiplantae; Streptophyta; Magnoliopsida; Arecales; Arecaceae.
CUUCUUUUGCUUUACCGAUCGACAGAUUAGGUCCACCCUUAGGUGAUAGGAUAUCACCUCAGAAUCAAUGUCGGGCAUGUCUGUAGUAGACCAGGCAAAAAGAUCCAUAUUUUUCUACAAAAGAUUAAUUAGCCGACAUUUGGUUACCUUAUCUAGUCGCGAGCCGAUUUUCACCAUCCAGCUCAGAUUCUCCUUCCUCAAUGGGAUAUCUAAAAGGUCCUUCCAAGC